CCCUUCGCGGGGGACAACAGUCCGAAAGGAUUGCUAAUACCGCGUACGUCAGCGAGCUCUUUGGAGCACGUUGGGAAAGACGGCCUCUUCAUGAAAGCUGUCACCGAAGGAUGAGUCCGCGGCCCAUCAGCUAGUUGGCGGGGUAAUGGCCCACCAAGGCAUAGACGGGUAGCUGGUCUGAGAGGAUGAUCAGCCACACUGGAACUGAGACACGGCCCAA
RNAcentral lists this ribosomal RNA (220 nucleotides) under uncultured bacterium. RNAcentral describes it as "partial 16S ribosomal RNA". It matches the Rfam family "Bacterial small subunit ribosomal RNA", at positions 129 to 334 of the family's 1533-position model. The record is from RNAcentral.